This is an RNA transcript of Columba livia (rock pigeon), 4587 nucleotides long. It is a transcript of the gene named calcium voltage-gated channel auxiliary subunit alpha2delta 4, with no coding region annotated. The record is from RefSeq and is a predicted model, not a curated record. NCBI's taxonomy places the organism in Eukaryota, Metazoa, Chordata, Aves, Columbiformes, Columbidae. The transcript is spliced from 38 exons.
UCCCAGCGCAGAGCUCCCUCCUGGCGCAGCCGCUCCUCGGGGCACGGAGACACACUGCACCCAUGGGUCCCUGCUGACAAGGGUCCCUGGUCAGUUUUUGGCCGCCUGCCCUAAGCCAGAGACCCCUGACGGCACUCGGCAUCAGGAGCAACGUUCCCGGGGCAGAGGUAGCCGGGGUCACCCCGGGGCUGGGCCCCGCAGCAGCGGGGCACCCAGCCCGGCAGCAUGGCGGGGGCCACGUGGGACCCUCCACAGGGCAGCAGGAAGGGCAUGGAGCCCCCGCACCCCACCGGCCAGUCCCCUUGCUGAUGGUUGGCAGGUGGAGGAUGGGGCCCUGGGCCGUCCCGUGGAUGAUGCUCUGGCUCUUCUGCCUCCUGCCCUCCACCAGGGCCCAGACGAAGAUCCCGCUGGAGACGGUGAAGUCUUGGGCAGAUGCCUUUGGUGGGGAGCUGUACUCCAUCGUGACUAAGUAUUCAGGCUCUCUCCUGUUGCAGAAGAAGUACAAAGAUGUGGAGCCAACUUUGAAGAUCAAAGAGGUGGAUGGCUUGGAGCUGGUGAAGAAGUUCUCAGAGCAGAUGGAAAGCAUGCUCCGCAGGAAGGUCGAAGCCGUCGAGAGGUUGGUGGAAGCAGCAGAAGAUGCAGAUCUGAACCACGAGUACAACUCCUCACUGGAGUUUGAUUACUACAACUCUCUACUGAUUAAUGACAAAGAUGAAAAUGACAAUUAUGUUGAGCUUGGAGAUGAAUUCAUUUUGGAGCCAAACGAACAUUUCAACAACCUGCUGGUGAACACAACAUACAGUGAUAUCCAGCUCCCCACCAAUGUCUACAACAAAGACCCUGACAUCCUGAAUGGCGUUUACAUGUCAGAAGCCUUGAAUCCUAUUUUUGUGGACAACUUUGAAAGGGAUCCCACGCUGACCUGGCAGUACUUUGGCAGCUCCACUGGAUUCUUCAGGCUCUACCCAGGAAUAAAGUGGUUACCAGAUGAGAACGGAGUCAUCUCCUUCGACUGCAGGAAUCGUGGCUGGUACAUCCAAGCGGCCACAUCUCCCAAGGACAUUGUCAUCAUUGUGGACGUCAGUGGGAGCAUGAAGGGCCUGCGGAUGACCAUUGCUAAACACACCAUCAUCACCAUUUUAGAUACUCUGGGAGAAAAUGACUUUGUCAACAUCAUUGCAUACAAUGAUUAUGUUCAUUUUAUUGAGCCCUGUUUUAAGGGUAUCCUGGUCCAAGCAGACAGAGAUAACAGAGAGCACUUCAAGCAGCUGGUGGACGAACUGCAGGCAAAAGGAGUCGGGACUGUGAACAAGGCUUUGACAGAGGCCUUCAAAAUCCUGAGGGAGUUCAGAGACGCUGGUCAAGGAGGCUUGUGUAACCAAGCUAUCAUGCUGAUCACAGAUGGAGCAGUGGAGGAUUAUGAAGCCGUGUUUGAAAAAUACAACUGGCCAGAUCGGAAGGUCCGGGUUUUCACUUACCUCAUUGGACGAGAGGUCACUUUUGCCCCCAACGUGAAAUGGAUCGCAUGCAACAACAAAGGCUACUACACUCAGAUAUCCACGCUGGCGGAUGUCCAGGAGAAUGUGAUGGAGUACCUGCAUGUGCUCAGCCGUCCCAUGGUCAUCAACCAUGACCAUGACAUUAUUUGGACUGAAGCCUACAUGGACAGUGCGCUCUUUGCAUCUCAAGCUCAAAGUCUGUUGCUCAUGACAACAGUGGCUAUGCCAGUUUUCAGCAAAAAGAAUGAGACGCGAUCCCAUGGCAUUCUCCUGGGUGUGGUGGGCUCUGAUGUACCACUGAGGGAGUUGUUAAAACUUGCUCCACGGUAUAAGCUGGGUGUCCAUGGAUAUGCCUUUCUCAACACCAACAACGGCUACAUCCUUUCACACCCAGACCUCCGUCCUUUGUACAAAGAAGGAAAGAAACUGAAGCCUAAGCCAAACUACAACAGUGUAGACCUCUCAGAAGUGGAAUGGGAAGACCAGGAUGAAAUACUGAGAACUGCCAUGAUCAAUGGGGAAACAGGCUACCUCUCUAUGGAUGUGAAGGUCCCCGUGGAUAAAGGGAAACGAGUUCUCUUCCUCACCAAUGAUUAUUUCUUCACGGACAUCAGUGGCACACCCUUCAGCCUGGGUGUUGUGCUGUCCAGGGGACACGGGGAGUACAUUCUGCUGGGGAACACUUCAGUGGAAGAAGGUUUGCAUGACUUGCUCCAGCCAGACUUGUCCUUAGCGAAUGAAUGGAUUUACUGCAUCACUGACAUUGAUCCGGACCAUCGGAAGCUCAGCCAGCUGGAGGCUGUGAUCCGUUUCCUCACCGGAGAGGAGCCUGACCUGGAAUGUGAUGAGGAGUUGGUCCAGGAAGUGUUGUUUGAUGCAGUGGUCACUGCACCCAUGGAGGCCUACUGGACAACACUAGCUCUCAAUAUGUCCAUGGAGACUGAGGCAGGUGUCGAGGUGGCAUUUCUGGGCACUCGGGCUGGACUUAUGAGGAGUGCCCUAUAUGUUGGAUCUGAGAAAAUUUCCAACAGGAAAUUCCUGACGCGGAAGGAUAAGGAAAGCAUCUUCACCAUGGACCACUUCCCUCUGUGGUACCGCCGAGCGGCCGAGCAUCCCCCUGGGAGCUUCAUCUACAGCAUUGUUUCAGAAGAUGACUCAGAGGGAGGUGGCCUGCCAAAAGUGGUGACAGUGAGCACGGCUGUGGCGGUGUCUGUGGAUGGGAAGAUGGGUAUUGCUGCAGCGGUGGGUGUGCAAAUUAAGCUGGAGUUGCUCCAACGCAAAUUUUGGAUGGCCAUGCAACAGCCCAAUGACAGUGAUUGCAGUGCCUUGGACGGUGCCUGUCCACUAAGCUGUCAGGAUGAGAUCCUGAAUUGCUUCCUCAUUGAUAAUAACGGCUUUAUACUUGUUUCCAAAAGACCUGCAGAGACUGGAAAAUUUUUUGGUGCAGUGGAAGGCUCAGUAAUGACCCAGCUACUAAACAUGGGCAUGUUCAGGCGGGUGACCAUGUAUGACUAUCAAGCAAUGUGCAAAGUACCCUACCACCACCACAGCGGUGCCCGGCCUCUGCUCAGCCCAAUAUAUGCCUUUCUAGCUGCAGUGAAAUGGCUGAUAAGUGAUUUCCUCAUCUUACUUUUGGAGUUUAACAUGAGUAGCUUCUGGCACUCAGACAACUUGGCAGAUGCCAAGGCUGUCUUCCAUCACUCUCACAAGCACAAGAAGCACGACACCUUGCAGCCCUGCGACACAGAGUACCCUGUUUUUGUGUACGAGCCGGCCAUCAAGGAGACCAACGGGCUGAUCGAGUGCGGAGAUUGCCAGAAGAUGUUUGUGGCACAACAGAUCACCAGCAGUAACCUCCUGCUCCUCGUCACGGAUGCUACCUGUGACUGCAGUGUCUUCCCACCCGUCCUGCUGGAUGCGAAAGAAGUUAAAUAUAUCCUUCCAUACGCAGCAGGGAUGCAUGGCUCCCUCUUUGCUAGGGUGGAAAAAACCUGCUGCUGUGGCAAUUGCCACAGGGGUGGAGAGCAUGGCCUGAACUGUGAGACAGCCAGGAAGGGAGACACAGGGCAGGCAGGCUUGAGGUGUGGUGGAGAGGAGGUAACAGUCAACAUAGAAUCACAGAAUGUCCUCAGUUGGAGGGAACCCACAAGCAUCAUCGAGUCCAACUCCUGUCCCUGCACAGGACAACCCCACAGUUCACACCAUGUGUCUGAGGGCUUGUCCAGUCUCUUCUUGAACACUGUCAGGAUUGGGGCCAUGACACCUCCCUGGGGAGCCUGUUCCAGUGCUCCAGCACCCUCUGGGUGAAGAACCUUUUCCUAAUGUCCAACCUAAACCUCCCCGCCACAUCUUCCUGACAUUCCUUCAGGUCCUGUGUGGGGGACUACGAUGGGUCCGUGGAUUCCCUGACAGUCCUGCCCUCCAGACUCUGAAGAGGAAGCCAGUCUCCCCAAUCCAAGCUGCCAGAUGUGCUGUAUGAGGGUGAGGGUGGGACAGGCCAGGAGAAAGGUUCAGUGGUGGGGUGGGCACAGCCAGGCUGGCUCCUUGACAGUGCUCCCAGGUGCUUCCCUAACUCAUCCCUGUUGAGGCUUCAUCCCUUACUCCUCAUAAGGGCAGUGAUACGGCACAGCUUGUCACUGUGAUGGCGAGCCCUCUCCAUGCAUUUUGGCCACUGCCAUUUUUUCUUGCCAUGUUCUAGUGCUGGAGAUGUCUCCAGCCCAUGCAGGCUGACUUGUCCUCCCCACUCUGUCCCCUAGGCUGUGCAGUUACACCUGCACAACUUGCAUCAGAGCCCUGUAAGUCCAUGCAGCAUUCAUCCCCCUUUUCCCUUGCCCUGCUGCUGCCAGUGUUCUUAACAGCCUUGCACAUAACGCUUCAGUGAAGUGUGAACGGAUGCGCUCCCAGAAGCUGAGGCGGCGGCCGGACACGUGCCACGCGUUUCACCCCGAGGAAAAUGCCCAAGACUGCGGUGGCACUGCUGAGGUCUCCGUCUCACCGACACUGCUCCUCCUGCCCUUGGCGCUGCUCCUGCGGUGACACUACCUGCAACGGUGACACUGCCUGUGAUGGUGACACUGCCUGCAACGCG